UUGUGAGCUCGAUGAGUAGGGCGGGACACGUGGUAUCCUGUCUGAAUAUGGGGGGACCAUCCUCCAAGGCUAAAUACUCCUGACUGACCGAUAGUGAACCAGUACCGUGAGGGAAAGGCGAAAAGAACCCCGGCGAGGGGAGUGAAAAAGAACCUGAAACCGUGUACGUACAAGCAGUGGGAGCCUCUUUUAUGGGGUGACUGCGUACCUUUUGUAUAAUGGGUCAGCGACUUAUAUUCUGUAGCAAGGUUAACCGAAUAGGGGAGCCGAAGGGAAACCGAGUCUUAACUGGGCGUUAAGUUGCAGGGUAUAGACCCGAAACCCGGUGAUCUAGCCAUGGGCAGGUUGAAGGUUGGGUAACACUAACUGGAGGACCGAACCGACUAAUGUUGAAAAAUUAGCGGAUGACUUGUGGCUGGGGGUGAAAGGCCAAUCAAACCGGGAGAUAGCUGGUUCUCCCCGAAAGCUAUUUAGGUAGCGCCUCGUGAAUUCAUCUCCGGGGGUAGAGCACUGUUUCGGCAAGGGGGUCAUCCCGACUUACCAACCCGAUGCAAACUGCGAAUACCGGAGAAUGUUAUCACGGGAGACACACGGCGGGUGCUAACGUCCGUCGUGAAGAGGGAAACAACCCAGACCGCCAGCUAAGGUCCCAAAGUCAUGGUUAAGUGGGAAACGAUGUGGGAAGGCCCAGACAGCCAGGAUGUUGGCUUAGAAGCAGCCAUCAUUUAAAGAAAGCGUAAUAGCUCACUGGUCGAGUCGGCCUGCGCGGAAGAUGUAACGGGGCUAAACCAUGCACCGAAGCUGCGGCAGCGACGCUUAUGCGUUGUUGGGUAGGGGAGCGUUCUGUAAGCCUGUGAAGGUGUGCUGUGAGGCAUGCUGGAGGUAUCAGAAGUGCGAAUGCUGACAUAAGUAACGAUAAAGCGGGUGAAAAGCCCGCUCGCCGGAAGACCAAGGGUUCCUGUCCAACGUUAAUCGGGGCAGGGUGAGUCGACCCCUAAGGCGAGGCCGAAAGGCGUAGUCGAUGGGAAACAGGUUAAUAUUCCUGUACUUGGUGUUACUGCGAAGGGGGGACGGAGAAGGCUAUGUUGGCCGGGCGACGGUUGUCCCGGUUUAAG
RNAcentral lists this ribosomal RNA (1115 nucleotides) under Escherichia coli. Its description in RNAcentral is "partial 23S ribosomal RNA". It matches the Rfam family "Bacterial large subunit ribosomal RNA", at positions 397 to 1516 of the family's 2925-position model. Lineage: Bacteria; Pseudomonadati; Pseudomonadota; Gammaproteobacteria; Enterobacterales; Enterobacteriaceae. The record is from RNAcentral.